UGAAGAGUUUGAUCAUGGCUCAGAUUGAACGCUGGCGGCAGGCCUAACACAUGCAAGUCGAGCGGUAACAGAUCUAGCUUGCUAGAUGCUGACGAGCGGCGGACGGGUGAGUAACGCGUAGGAAUCUACCCAGUAGCGGGGGAUAAGCCAGAGAAAUUUGGUCUAAUACCGCAUACGCCCUUCGGGGGAAAGCAGGGGAUCUUCGGACCUUGCACUAUUGGAUGAGCCUGCGUGAGAUUAGCUAGUUGGUGAGGUAAUGGCUCACCAAGGCGACGAUCUCUAGCUGGUCUGAGAGGAUGAUCAGCCACACUGGGACUGAGACACGGCCCAGACUCCUACGGGAGGCAGCAGUGGGGAAUUUUGGACAAUGGGCGCAAGCCUGAUCCAGCAAUGCCGCGUGAGUGAUGAAGGCCUUAGGGUUGUAAAGCUCUUUUACCAGGGAUGAUAAUGACAGUACCUGGAGAAUAAGCUCCGGCUAACUCCGUGCCAGCAGCCGCGGUAAUACGGAGGGAGCUAGCGUUGUUCGGAAUUACUGGGCGUAAAGCGCGCGUAGGCGGUUACUCAAGUCAGAGGUGAAAGCCCGGAGCUCAACUCCGGAACUGCCUUUGAAACUAGGUGACUAGAAUCUUGGAGAGGCGAGUGGAAUUCCGAGUGUAGAGGUGAAAUUCGUAGAU
RNAcentral lists this ribosomal RNA (674 nucleotides) under Pseudo-nitzschia pungens. Its description in RNAcentral is "partial Bacterial small subunit ribosomal RNA". It matches the Rfam family "Bacterial small subunit ribosomal RNA", at positions 1 to 695 of the family's 1533-position model. Lineage: Eukaryota; Bacillariophyta; Bacillariophyceae; Bacillariales; Bacillariaceae. The record is from RNAcentral.